Molecule: ribosomal RNA, 456 nt
Filed under: Triticum aestivum (bread wheat)
Lineage: Eukaryota; Viridiplantae; Streptophyta; Magnoliopsida; Poales; Poaceae
Description: partial small subunit ribosomal RNA
Source: RNAcentral
AUGAGCAAGAGAAAAUGGCCAGGGAAUCCCUGUUGCUCUUUCUGCAAACAGGUGGAAACGGUGCAACAUCUGUUCUUUACUUGUCCCGUGGCCAGAAUUAUCUGGCGAUCUAUUGGAGUAGUUCUUGGCACUGAUAGAUGCCCGUCGAAUUACUGGCAAUACUUCGUAUGGUGCCACAAAUUUCUUCCUGGGAAGCAAACGUUUUAUACAGUGGGCUUAGCGGCCACAUGUUGGGCCAUUUGGUUGGCGCGCAAUCGAGCUACUUUUAAAAAGAAACAAAUCAAGACUCCUUUUGAGAUUGUGUUUUCUCUGUGCUCUUUUCUACUUUACUGGACAGGGCUACAGCAAGGAGAGGACGCCAAGGAGCUGCGCACUGGAGCAGAGAUGAUCAGGGAUAGCACAAUGCAGUUAAUGAAGAUGUGUGGUGCUGUCAAGCAACCAAUCCAAGGUGCUUGA